GACGAACGCUGGCGGCGUGCUUAACACAUGCAAGUCGAACGGAAAGGCCCCCACUUUUUUGGUGGGGGUGCUCGAGUGGCGAACGGGUGAGUAACACGUGGGUGAUCUGCCCUGUACUUCGGGAUAAGCUUGGGAAACUGGGUCUAAUACCGGAUAGGACCAUGGUUUAGUGUCUCAUGGUGGAAAAAUUAUUGUUUUGGUGCAGGAUGAGCUCGCGGCCUAUCAGCUUGUUGGUGGGGUAAUGGCCUACCAAGGCGUCGACGGGUAGCCGGCCUGAGAGGGUGGACGGCCACAUUGGGACUGAGAUACGGCCCAGACUCCUACGGAGGCAGCAGUGGGGAAUAUUGCACAAUGGGCGCAAGCCUGAUGCAGCGACGCCGCGUGGGGGAUGACGGCCUUCGGGUUGUAAACUCCUUUCGUUAGGGACGAAGCCGCACCUUUUUUGGGUGUGGUGACGGUACCUUUGUUAAGAAGCACCGGCUAACUACGUG
Molecule: ribosomal RNA, 491 nt
Filed under: uncultured bacterium
Lineage: Bacteria
Description: partial 16S ribosomal RNA
Rfam family: Bacterial small subunit ribosomal RNA
Source: RNAcentral